UGCACGCUGGCGGCGUGCCUAAUACAUGCAAAUCGAGCGAACGGACGAGAAGCUUGCUUCUCUGAUGUUAGCGGCGGACGGGUGAGUAACACGUGGAUAACCUACCUAUAAGACUGGGAUAACUUCGGGAAACCGGAGCUAAUACCGGAUAAUAUUUUGAACCGCAUGGUUCAAAAGUGAAAGACGGUCUUGCUGUCACUUAUAGAUGGAUCCGCGCUGCAUUAGCUAGUUGGUAAGGUAACGGCUUACCAAGGCAACGAUGCAUAGCCGACCUGAGAGGGUGAUCGGCCACACUGGAACUGAGACACGGUCCAGACUCCUACGGGAGGCAGCAGUAGGGAAUCUUCCGCAAUGGGCGAAAGCCUGACGGAGCAACGCCGCGUGAGUGAUGAAGGUCUUCGGAUCGUAAAACUCUGUUAUUAGGGAAGAACAUAUGUGUAAGUAACUGUGCACAUCUUGACGGUACCUAAUCAGAAAGCCACGGCUAACUACGUG
RNAcentral lists this ribosomal RNA (495 nucleotides) under uncultured bacterium. Its description in RNAcentral is "partial 16S ribosomal RNA". It matches the Rfam family "Bacterial small subunit ribosomal RNA", at positions 30 to 507 of the family's 1533-position model. The record is from RNAcentral.